GCUCGUAGUUGGAUCUCGGCGGACAGAAGUCGGUCCGAAUGCUUUCGGUACUGGCUUGUUUGUCCGUGUGUUUUGCCAGAGGCAGGCGGGUGCUCUUCGCCGAGUGUCCGUCUGUGCUGGCAGGUUUACUUUGAAAAAAUUAGAGUGCUCAAAGCAAGCUCUCACGCUUGAAUAUUCGUGCAUGGAAUAAUAGAAUAGGAUGUCGUUUCUAUUUUGUUGGUUUUCGGAAAUCGACAUAAUGAUUAAUAGGGACAGUCGGGGGCAUUUGUAUUCAAACGACAGAGGUGAAAUUCUUGGACCGUUUGAAGACAAACUACUGCGAAAGCAUUUGCCAAGAAUGUUUUCAUUAAUCAAGAACGAAAGUUAGAGGUUCGAAGGCGAUUAGAUACCGCUCUAGUUCUAACCAUAAACGGUGCCAGCUAGCGAUCUGCAGGCGUUUUACUUUACGACCUUGCAGGGAGCUUCCGGGAAACCAAAGCUUGUGGGUUCCAGGGGAAGUAUGGUUGCAAAGCUGAAACUUAAAGGAAUUGACGGAAGGGCACCACCAGGAGUGGAGCCUGUGGCUUAAUUUGACUCAACACGGGAAAUCUCACCAGGCCCGGACACGAGAAGGAUUGACAGAUUGAUAGCUCUUUCUUGAUUUCGUGGGUGGUGGUGCAUGGCCGUUCUUAGUUGGUGGAGUGAUUUGUCUGGUUAAUUCCGAUAACGAACGAGACUCUGUCCUGCUAACUAGUGUCUGCUU
RNAcentral lists this ribosomal RNA (742 nucleotides) under Eudiaptomus environmental sample. Its description in RNAcentral is "SSU rRNA". It matches the Rfam family "Eukaryotic small subunit ribosomal RNA", at positions 626 to 1367 of the family's 1831-position model. Lineage: Eukaryota; Metazoa; Arthropoda; Copepoda; Calanoida; Diaptomidae. The record is from RNAcentral.